GCAUUUAAUGAAGGAAACUACCAAUUGUGGGAUGAUAAGUUGAAGAAGUACAUUGAUGACCUUAAAGACCCAGGCCCAAGUGGCAAGCCCUACUCUGCUAGAUACAUUGGUAGUUUGGUUGGGGACUUUCAUCGAACACUUCUAUAUGGUGGCAUUUAUGGGUAUCCCAGAGACAAGAAGAGCAAGAAUGGAAAGCUAAGGCUCUUGUACGAGUGUGCACCUAUGAGCUUUAUAGUGGAACAAGCUGGUGGAAAAGGAUCAGACGGCCAUCAGAGAAUACUUGAUAUCCAACCAGUUGAGGUGAGAACACUUACAUGGUAAUUUUCACCCAUCGUUCUUGAAUUGUAGGAGGUAUUUUCAUUACCAUCUCUGAAUUUUCGAGAGAUCAUUGAGUAAUUUUCAGGAACAGUGAUGAAAUACCUUCAAAGUUGAGCAACGGUGGGCAAAAAUUACCCCAAAAUUACAUGUAUCUUUGAAUUCGUAAACUUUUAAUUCUUCAUUUUUAAAGUUAAUAACUGGGAUUUUCUUUUUAACAGAUACAUCAGCGCGUUCCACUUUACAUUGGGAGCCAGGAGGAAGUGGAGAAAUUGGAGAAGUAUUUGGCUUAAUUGAACUGUAAAAGCAAAGACG
RNAcentral lists this long non-coding RNA (630 nucleotides) under Manihot esculenta (cassava). Its description in RNAcentral is "long non-coding RNA (MESC_LNC004772)". Lineage: Eukaryota; Viridiplantae; Streptophyta; Magnoliopsida; Malpighiales; Euphorbiaceae. The record is from RNAcentral.